RNAcentral lists this long non-coding RNA (453 nucleotides) under Pongo abelii (Sumatran orangutan). RNAcentral describes it as "lincRNA". The record is from RNAcentral. Lineage: Eukaryota; Metazoa; Chordata; Mammalia; Primates; Hominidae.
AUCAGAUUUUGCUUCAAAAAUUUUGGACCUUUGUUACUAGAUACAUAAACAUCUGAGGUGUUUAUUGGAGCUCUUUUCCUAGAACUGAUAAUUGGAUUCAAGGUAUUCUGGAGAACAAGGAAGAAAACUUAGGCCCAGAAAGCUUAAUAUAUUACCCAAAGAGUUAGUCCACAUUGAACUGGGAGUUAAUCCUUGGCUGUCUGGCUGGAAAGCUUUUGCUCUGUAUCUUGGAUGAAUAAACUAAACCUUAGGGAGUUUUCCUAGAAGAAACCAUAUUACAACUCCUACAUGAGAAGCUAAAUUACAACACAAAGAUUGCUUGGUGAGCAUGUGAUCAAAACAGGGCAAGAUGAAGACUUUUAGAGGCCACAAGCAUUUUAGUGUGCCUCCCAACUUCCCUUAUGUUAUUCAAAAUAUAAACAAUAAAAUCUACAAAGUUGUGAAAGAAGUCCA